CCUACGGGGGGCAGCAGUGGGGAAUAUUGCACAAUGGGCGCAAGCCUGAUGCAGCCAUGCCGCGUGUGUGAAGAAGGCCUUCGGGUUGUAAAGCACUUUCAGCGGGGAGGAAGGCGUUAAGGUUAUUAACCUUGUCGAUUGACGUUACCCGCAGAAGAAGCACCGGCUAACUCCGUGCCAGCAGCCGCGGUAAUACGGAGGGUGCAAGCGUUAAUCGGAAUUACUGGGCGUAAAGCGCACGCAGGCGGUCUGUCAAGUCGGAUGUGAAAUCCCCGGGCUCAACCUGGGAACUGCAUUCGAAACUGGCAGGCUAGAGUCUUGUAGAGGGGGGUAGAAUUCCAGGUGUAGCGGUGAAACGCGUAGAGAUCUGGAGGAAUACCGGUGGCGAAGGCGGCCCCCUGGACAAAGACUGACGCUCAGGUGCGAAAGCGUGGGGAGCAAACAGGAUUAGAUACCCGAGUAGUC
This 465-nucleotide ribosomal RNA is filed under the name uncultured Klebsiella sp. Its description in RNAcentral is "bacterial SSU rRNA". It matches the Rfam family "Bacterial small subunit ribosomal RNA", at positions 338 to 795 of the family's 1533-position model. Lineage: Bacteria; Pseudomonadati; Pseudomonadota; Gammaproteobacteria; Enterobacterales; Enterobacteriaceae. The record is from RNAcentral.